AUGAACGCUGGCGGCGUGCCUAAUACAUGCAAGUCGAGCGAACAGACGAGGAGCUUGCUCCUCUGACGUUAGCGGCGGACGGGUGAGUAACCCGUGGAUAACCUACCUAUAAGACUGGGAUAACUUCGGGAAACCGGAGCUAAUACCGGAUAAUAUAUUUAACCGCAUGGUUCAAUAGUGAAAGACGGUUUUGCUGUCACUUAUAGAUGGAUCCGCGCCGCAUUAGCUAGUUGGUAAGGUAACGGCUUACCAAGGCAACGAUGCGUAGCCGACCUGAGAGGGUGAUCGGCCACACUGGAACUGAGACACGGUCCAGACUCCUACGGGAGGCAGCAGUAGGGAAUCUUCCGCAAUGGGCGAAAGCUUGACGGAGCAACGCCGCGUGAGUGAUGAAGGUCUUCGGAUCGUAAAACUCUGUUAUUAGGGAAGAACAAAUGUGUAAGUAACUAUGCACGUCUUGACGGUACCUAAUCAGAAAGCCACGGCUAACUACGUG
RNAcentral lists this ribosomal RNA (496 nucleotides) under uncultured bacterium. RNAcentral's name for it is "partial 16S ribosomal RNA". It matches the Rfam family "Bacterial small subunit ribosomal RNA", at positions 29 to 507 of the family's 1533-position model. The record is from RNAcentral.